AAAAAAAAGCAAAAAUUAAGUAAUACUGAAUUUAUAACAAUACUUUCACCACGACUUCGCAGCAAAGAGGUCCCUUCACAGCUUGGACGCAGUGGUUGGGUUUGGUGCUAAAGCUUUCCUAAGCAGACCCUCUUGCGUCAAUGAUACAACAUGCUCCCCCUUUCUAUUAAACAUUUGGCCGGAUACAAAGCCACGUGAGUGGGCGGCAGCAGGACUCUUAAUCACAAAUAAUAUCCAGUCAUCAGCUCUAAAUGAGCGGUGGAACCACAUCGAGUGGUCUAGACUAACAGCAGCUGUCUUCAAACCCUUAGUGCGGUGGGGAUUCAUACUGACUUGAAGAAAUAUAAGAUCUGAAGCAUAUGCUGCUACACAUCUAUGCAAAGCCUGGUCAUCUGAAAGUUUUCCUUU
RNAcentral lists this unclassified non-coding RNA (408 nucleotides) under Hevea brasiliensis (rubber tree). The record is from RNAcentral. Lineage: Eukaryota; Viridiplantae; Streptophyta; Magnoliopsida; Malpighiales; Euphorbiaceae.